RNAcentral lists this transfer RNA (70 nucleotides) under Marmota monax (woodchuck). RNAcentral describes it as "tRNA.Ala". The stretch from base 7 to 63 matches the Rfam family "tRNA", at positions 8 to 63 of the family's 71-position model. Rfam says of the family: Transfer RNA (tRNA) molecules are approximately 80 nucleotides in length. Their secondary structure includes four short double-helical elements and three loops (D, anti-codon, and T loops). Further hydrogen bonds mediate the characteristic L-shaped molecular structure. tRNAs have two regions of fundamental functional importance: the anti-codon, which is responsible for specific mRNA codon recognition, and the 3' end, to which the tRNAs corresponding amino acid is attached (by aminoacyl-tRNA synthetases). tRNAs cope with the degeneracy of the genetic code in two manners: having more than one tRNA (with a specific anti-codon) for a particular amino acid; and 'wobble' base-pairing, i.e. permitting non-standard base-pairing at the 3rd anti-codon position. The record is from RNAcentral. Lineage: Eukaryota; Metazoa; Chordata; Mammalia; Rodentia; Sciuridae.
GGGAUGUAGCUCAGUGGCAGAGCACUUGCCUAGCAUGUGUGAGACCUUGGGUUCAAAUCCCUAAGUACCA